CAGUGUGGCCAUACCACGUGGUUUGUGACGUCAUUUUGGCUAGCACGCUAAGCAGAAAUUUGUCAACAUUGGCCCCGCUUAGAAAUUUCAAAUCCACAUACACAUGAUGACGACCGAAGAGCGAUAUAUUUGUGCCAUAUGCGCCAGAGGGUUCAAGCACAGGCGAAAUAUGGUUUACCAUGAAAGAACACACGCUGGGAUGUUACCCUUUAACUGUUGCGGCGUUGGGUUUUCAUCAAGACGACAAUUACAAAGACACAGGUGCAAUGUACACGGUGACGGAAAAAACUAUCUUUGCCUUUAUUGUGGAAAAGAAUUCGCAACGAAAGUAGAUCUAGAUGCCCACUCGGCCCGGGAACAGCGCACUCGAGAGAUCGAGUGCGAGAUAUGCAACCACAAGGCCACAACACGGGCUCAUCUCCGAGAACAUCUCAAAACACACAGCGAGGAAAAAACACACGUUUGCCAUGUGUGCAAAGCCGCCUAUAAACAUAUAAGUUCACUGUAUAGGCACUAUGGGCAAAAGCACAAAUGACGUGUAUACAGUGGUUUUACCUGUUCGUGAUUUAUUUGUGAUUUACCCGUGAUUUAUUUGUGAUUUACCCGUGAUUGAAUUGUUGCGAUAAAAGCAUAAUCAUCAGAUCUCAAGCAUAAUUAACAUUUGAACCGUAUCUGUUUAUACCACGAUGUUUACUUGUUGCGUUUUUUUUACUUUUUAUUGUUUUUUUUAUAUGUUUUGUUAAUGCUACUGUUAUAUUAUAGCAGUUGUGAUUUGUAUUGUGAUUAAAAUGUAAUUUUAUAAUUGUGAUUAAUGCUUUAUAAUCAGUUCUCAAGCAUAAAUAACAUUUAAAUCGUAUAUGUUUAUACCACGAUGUGAACUUGUUGCGUUUCUUUUCUUUUUAU
Dreissena polymorpha is the source of this 903-nucleotide long non-coding RNA. RefSeq lists it as uncharacterized. The transcript is spliced from 3 exons. Lineage: Eukaryota; Metazoa; Mollusca; Bivalvia; Myida; Dreissenidae. The record is from RefSeq and is a predicted model, not a curated record.